UACGUAGGGGGCAAGCGUUGUCCGGAUUUAUUGGGCGUAAAGCGCGCGCAGGCGGUCAUUUAAGUCUGGUGUUUAAGCCCGGGGCUCAACCCCGGUUCGCAUCGGAAACUGGAUGACUUGAGUAUAGGAGAGGAAAGUGGAAUUCCACGUGUAGCGGUGAAAUGCGUAGAGAUGUGGAGGAACACCAGUGGCGAAGGCGACUUUCUGGCCUAUAACUGACGCUGAGGCGCGAAAGCGUGGGGAGCAAACAGG
RNAcentral lists this ribosomal RNA (252 nucleotides) under uncultured bacterium. RNAcentral's name for it is "partial 16S ribosomal RNA". It matches the Rfam family "Bacterial small subunit ribosomal RNA", at positions 524 to 776 of the family's 1533-position model. The record is from RNAcentral.